UUUGUGUCUUUGUGAGCGCCGCCCGAGCUCCAUUCCCUCAGUCCCUCUCCCCUCUCCUAGUCUUCCUCUCCUCCGGACCUCCGCCCUCUCCUCCCCCUUGCCGACUCCUUCCGCCUCCCCGUCGACGGCGACCGCAGCGGCUCGACGGGUUCCUAGGACGUUGCUUCCGCCUUCUUGGGGCUUUUCGUCGUCUCGCGACUUGCCGGCGGACGGUGACUGCUUUGUCUUCUCCACGGCGACGGCCUCCGUCUCCUGCCCUAUCCGUGCGUUCUCUCCCCUUCUCCGCUAGUAGUAUAGUCAUGCUAUCUCUGAUUUCCUUCCGCCAUCUCUUUCUGUCUCUGUUUCUUGAUCUUAGGGAUCUUGGAUCUCAAAGCGGCGGAGGACGUGAGGGCGCUCUUUCUCUUCUUCAAAGCGGCGACUACUGUGGAGUCCAGCAGCGCUGCAGCAGGUAUGCCGGUGGAGGGAAAUGGUUUGGUUUUUACUUUUUAUGGUUUGAUUCAUGGCGAAGGCUAGGGCUUCCAGAUUUUUUCCCCCACCCGAAUCGAAGCCGUCGAUGAUUUCCGGAGAGAAAAAAAUUUGGGGAUGGCGCCUAGAAUCCUAGAUCAGAGAUUUUGAGGGCUCCCGUUUCCAUUUUCUUUUAUUUUUUCCAAUAAAAAAAUUGUAAUCUGUUAAUUUCUCUCCUCCCCUUGUUCCUCUCCGUGUUUUCUUUUUACUUAAUUUCUGGUUAAAUUUAUUUUUUUAAAAAAAUUGCUUGACCGUGUUAAUAUUGGUGGAUUUAUUGUUGGCACUGUCCAUGGCUUAUAUGCUAACUAUCUAAUUUAACUAUUUAAGUCCAAUAGUUAAACGAGUCGGGUUGGGUUAAAUGGGUUAGCUGUUUGUUAAACGGGUUAAACGGGUCGGGUUACCCAUUUAAUAAACAUGUCAGGUUCAGGUUGUAAUUUUCUAACCUGUUUAAUAAACAGGUCGGGUUCAGGUUUAUGAUUUUUUGACCCGACUUGCAUCUGAUCCGACCUGUUUAUGUCCGACCCAACCCGAUUGCCACCCCUAAUAAGCAAUCAUUAGCUAAUUGUUUGGCACAAAGCUUUUCUCGCCAUCUCGGGAUGGGCGUGCCAGAGAGCUUGUUUGAUAAAUCCUCGUGGCAAGUGGUAAAAAGAUGCAUAGGCAUGCCACCGGCGUUAGAGCAACCGAAAAGAGGAUAAUUGAAGGAAGGAUAUCAAACUAGCGUUUGUCCAAGUGCUUGGACCUUCAAGGACUUUUGCCAUUGUCAUAUUGCCGUUCGAAAGAAAAUGGAGAGGGAUAGGAUGUAGCCUGAGCUACGGUAGGAAAAAUAUAAGUCAUUUUGGAAUAUCAAAGUCAUUUUGAGCGGCUUGUCAAUAGAGCUUGUAAUUGGCCAAAACGGUAACUUGUUGGAACUUUUAUUGAAGGACUUUGCUCAUACAUUCAUUGUGAGAUGAAGAUGUAUAAGCCCUACAUUAUAUUGGUAGCUAUCUCUUUUGCCCGAUUAUGAAAGGAAAGACUCAUUAAAAAUACCUCAUGCUUAAACAAGAGAGUAAAUAACAAGAAAUUCGUAAAUUUCAAGAAGAUACACUCAACAACAAAUAUGUUAAGUGGCUUACACAAGAGGAUCUCAUGGACAGAAUAAGCCAAGGCAAAUGUUAGCAUUGUGAUGAAAAAUGGCAUAGAGAAAAUUGCUAGAAAAAGAUAAUUUUUCUUAUCGAACCUGCACAUAUUGACACUUCACAAGAUGAAGAAGAUGAAGAUGAUCGCCAUGUACCACCUAGACAAAUAUAAUCUUGAGAACAAGAUCAUCUAGAAGUGAAAGGGAAUGAUAUGCUUCUUAUCUUAGGAUCCUAAUUUUAAUUUGAUUUAGCACAAGAAUUAGGAGGAGUCCAAGUUUAAUAAAGAUUGGCUACAUCAUAUUCCUAUUUUGCUUUUUCUUAUUCUUGUAGGACAAUUAACUCUGAAUCUAUAUAUACGUAGUGCUCUAGACAAGCAAUGAAUUUAAUAAAAAUAGUGUAAAGGCUAUUCGAGGUCCAAAACCUCUUGAAUUGAUCGAAUACUCUUUCUUCUACCUAUAUCUCUAUUUUUCUAUUUUCUUUUGCUCGAAAUUCUAUCAAUAGUAAGUGGGUUCCUAUCAAACAGAAUACAUACACAUAUAUAUACGACUUUUCAAAAACUAGUCUCGCAUUAUAAAAAUUUCAUCAUGACAUGAAGAUGAAAUAUCUUUUUUUCGUAUCCUAACAUCGAACUAGAAAGAGGAGACUAACUGAACAAAUUUAGUUCAAUGUCGAGAAGUUAUGUAAUUUAAAAACUAUCCUUACUGCAAGGAGAGGGGAAAACCUAUGAUUUAAACCCACCCCCCACCCCAACCUUCGGGGCGUCUCAUGGCCUGCUUUCACCUGUUCUCCGAACCUAAAGCGGUGAUUUUUCACGAAGCUUGUCGAAAGAAAUCAAACAAAUGGAUUAUCGCAUUUCAAUAGUUUAAUGGGUUAUCAUCUUCGAAUCAAAAUUUACAACAAUUCAAAAAACUAGAAUAGUAUAUUAGAGAGACAGAGAGAGAGAGACCUGCCGGUCGCCGGUCCGAGGUUACAGAGGUUGAGCUUUGAGGGUGAGUCGAGAGAGAUCUGCAGCCGCCCAACAGGAACCCUAGUCCUUAAAUCCAAGGAGGCCCUUGGCAAAGCAAAUGGGCCGAGUUAAUUUUGUCUAGGGCUAAUCCCGGCUCGAUUCCGUUUAACGUGAGCUAGGAAAGGGGAUUGUGGGACAAGAUCCCGCCCCCCAGCCCCACUGGCGUCUCUAGGUUACUAGGCUCGUCUUGGAAGUUUAUUUGGAUAAUUGGGCUGAAAAUCUUAUGAAAUUUAUGGACUAAGGCCUUGUUUGGAGGAGCUUUUGAAGGGCCAAAAAGCACUUUCUAAUUGUGAAACAAUUGAAGAUGAAUGGUAAGAAAAGGAUAUGCAUAGAUGUACCUACUCGUUGGAAUUCUACAUAUCUCAUGUUAAACGAUGUUAUACAAUUCAAGGAUGUAUUUAUGCGACUUGUGGCCCGGGAUUCUAAUAAACAUUUGAAAAGCUGGGUGUUCAACUGUUGUAAAUGGCAUCUCUUGUAAAAUUACCAUCCUUUACUUCAUCUAUUUUCUCAAAAGGCCAUAAAAACAGAUUUUAAUGCAUCUAAAAGCAGAAAUUAAAAUUUUUUUCCCUAAAACGUGAUUCAAAAGAUGCAUACAAACAUAGAAAAUAAAAAUACUUUUUCUUGCACAGAAGAGAGUCUAAUCCACGGCUAGGGUUCUUUGUUAGGGCAGAUUUUUAGGUUUAUAAAGGGACAAAGUAUGUAAUUAUUAUAUUUUAUUAUGGGUAUUUUGGUGAAAAAAAGCUUUCCGACAAAGCUCAAAAUAGCUUUUUCGAAAAGCUCCAAAUUGGAGCUUUUUUUAAAAAGCUGUUUUUAGCUUUCUGAAAAAGCUAAAACAGCUUUUCCAAAAUUUUUACCAAAUAUCUUUUUUUAAUCCAAAAGUGCUUUAGGAGGGCCAGAAAGUGCUUUUUGGCCCUUCAAAAGCUCCUCCAAACAAGGCCUUAGUCCAUAAAUUUCAUAAGAUUUUCAGCCCAAUUAUCCAAAUAAACUUCCAAGACGAGCCUAGUAACCUAGAGACGCCAGUGGGGCUGGGGGGCGGGAUCUUGUCCCACAAUCCCCUUUCCUAGCUCACGUUAAACGGAAUCGAGCCGGGAUUAGCCCUAGACAAAAUUAACUCGGCCCAUUUGCUUUGCCAAGGGCCUCCUUGGAUUUAAGGACUAGGGUUCCUGUUGGGCGGCUGCAGAUCUCUCUCGACUCACCCUCAAAGCUCAACCUCUGUAACCUCGGACCGGCGACCGGCAGGUCUCUCUCUCUCUGUCUCUCUAAUAUACUAUUCUAGUUUUUUGAAUUGUUGUAAAUUUUGAUUCGAAGAUGAUAACCCAUUAAACUAUUGAAAUGCGAUAAUCCAUUUGUUUGAUUUCUUUCGACAAGCUUCGUGAAAAAUCACCGCUUUAGGUUCGGAGAACAGGUGAAAGCAGGCCAUGAGACGCCCCGAAGGUUGGGGUGGGGGGUGGGUUUAAAUCAUAGGUUUUCCCCUCUCCUUGCAGUAAGGAUAGUUUUUAAAUUACAUAACUUCUCGACAUUGAACUAAAUUUGUUCAGUUAGUCUCCUCUUUCUAGUUCGAUGUUAGGAUACGAAAAAAAGAUAUUUCAUCUUCAUGUCAUGAUGAAAUUUUUAUAAUGCGAGACUAGUUUUUGAAAAGUCGUAUAUAUAUGUGUAUGUAUUCUGUUUGAUAGGAACCCACUUACUAUUGAUAGAAUUUCGAGCAAAAGAAAAUAGAAAAAUAGAGAUAUAGGUAGAAGAAAGAGUAUUCGAUCAAUUCAAGAGGUUUUGGACCUCGAAUAGCCUUUACACUAUUUUUAUUAAAUUCAUUGCUUGUCUAGAGCACUACGUAUAUAUAGAUUCAGAGUUAAUUGUCCUACAAGAAUAAGAAAAAGCAAAAUAGGAAUAUGAUGUAGCCAAUCUUUAUUAAACUUGGACUCCUCCUAAUUCUUGUGCUAAAUCAAAUUAAAAUUAGGAUCCUAAGAUAAGAAGCAUAUCAUUCCCUUUCACUUCUAGAUGAUCUUGUUCUCAAGAUUAUAUUUGUCUAGGUGGUACAUGGCGAUCAUCUUCAUCUUCUUCAUCUUGUGAAGUGUCAAUAUGUGCAGGUUCGAUAAGAAAAAUUAUCUUUUUCUAGCAAUUUUCUCUAUGCCAUUUUUCAUCACAAUGCUAACAUUUGCCUUGGCUUAUUCUGUCCAUGAGAUCCUCUUGUGUAAGCCACUUAACAUAUUUGUUGUUGAGUGUAUCUUCUUGAAAUUUACGAAUUUCUUGUUAUUUACUCUCUUGUUUAAGCAUGAGGUAUUUUUAAUGAGUCUUUCCUUUCAUAAUCGGGCAAAAGAGAUAGCUACCAAUAUAAUGUAGGGCUUAUACAUCUUCAUCUCACAAUGAAUGUAUGAGCAAAGUCCUUCAAUAAAAGUUCCAACAAGUUACCGUUUUGGCCAAUUACAAGCUCUAUUGACAAGCCGCUCAAAAUGACUUUGAUAUUCCAAAAUGACUUAAAUUUUUCCUACCGUAGCUCAGGCUACAUCCUAUCCCUCUCCAUUUUCUUUCGAACGGCAAUAUGAUAAUGGCAAAAGUCCUUAAAGGUCCAAGCACUUGGACAAACGCUAGUUUGAUAUCCUUCCUUCAAUUAUCCUCUUUUCGGUUGCUCUAACGCCGGUGGCAUGCCUAUGCAUCUUUUUACCACUUGCCACGAGGAUUUAUCAAACAAGCUCUCUGGCACGCCCAUCCCGAGAUGGCGAGAAAAGCUUUGUGCCAAACAGUUAGCUAAUGAUUGCUUAUUAGGGGUGACAAUCGGGUUGGGUCGGACAUAAACAGGUCCGAUCAUAUGCAAGUCGGGUCAAAAAAUCAUAAACCUGAACCCGACCUGUUUAUUAAACAGGUUAGAAAAUUACAACCUGAACCUGACCUGUUUAUUAAAUGGGUAACCUGACCCGUUUAACCCGUUUAACAAACAGCUAACCCGUUUAACCCAGCCCGACUCGUUUAACCUAACCCGACCCGUUUAACUAUUGGACUUAAAUAGUUAAAUUAGAUAGUUGGCGUAUAAGCCAUGGACAGUGCCAACAAUAAAUCCACCAAUAUUAACACGGUCAAGCAAUUUUUUAAAAAAAAUAAAUUUAACCAGAAAUUAAGUAAAAAGAAAACACGGAGAGGAACAAGGGAAGGAGAGAAAUUAACAGAUUACAAUUUUUUUAUUGGAAAAAAUAAAAGAAAAUGGAAACGGGAGCCCUCAAAAUCUCUGAUCUAGGAUUCUAGGCGCCAUCCCCAAAUUUUUUUCUCUCCGGAAAUCAUCGACGGCUUCGAUUCGGGUGGGGGAAAAAAUCUGGAAGCCCUAGCCUUCGCCAUGAAUCAAACCAUAAAAAGUAAAAACCAAACCAUUUCCCUCCACCGGCAUACCUGCUGCAGCGCUGCUGGACUCCACAGUAGUCGCCGCUUUGAAGAAGAGAAAGAGCGCCCUCACGUCCUCCGCCGCUUUGAGAUCCAAGAUCCCUAAGAUCAAGAAACAGAGACAGAAAGAGAUGGCGGAAGGAAAUCAGAGAUAGCAUGACUAUACUACUAGCGGAGAAGGGGAGAGAACGCACGGAUAGGGCAGGAGACGGAGGCCGUCGCCGUGGAGAAGACAAAGCAGUCACCGUCCGCCGGCAAGUCGCGAGACGACGAAAAGCCCCAAGAAGGCGGAAGCAACGUCCUAGGAACCCGUCGAGCCGCUGCGGUCGCCGUCGACGGGGAGGCGGAAGGAGUCGGCAAGGGGGAGGAGAGGGCGGAGGUCCGGAGGAGAGGAAGACUAGGAGAGGGGAGAGGGACUGAGGGAAUGGAGCUCGGGCGGCGCUCACAAAGACACAAACCCUAAGCGACGCCUUUUACGUCCAAUCAACCUCGCGGUGAAACUGUGAAACCGGACGGUGGACCUCGCGGUGAAAGCGGGCCGAAGCGGGGAGUUGGGCCGAGGCGGUGAAAGCGGGCCGAGGCAGGGAGUGAAAUUGAGUUUUCUCAUGACAGAAAGAUUAAUCAACAGAUACAAAUCCUUUUGACCUAACUACAGACCAUCUAACUGAUUUGCAACUCGGGCAACUUCAUUGUAUUUAAGUUGGUAGAUACAGAAAGUGAAAAUUACAGCAAACAUCAAAAUUGCCUAUAUGCAAAUGCAAUAAGGCUGAAGAAGGAAAAUUAUGAUUAAACCGUUUCUCAGAGGGGAUGUACCAUUGCUAUACAUUCUUAAAAUAGAAAAGAAACAUAGAUGAAGAUUAAAUUUUGAAGGCAUAACUAAGUGUUUUAAAAAUAUAUAAAGUAAUGCAUCAUUUUCAUAAUUAUUGUUUUAUGAGUUCACUUCACUUUGGAAACCAACUAGAGCACUAUACACCGCCAAGAUUUCUUUCCCAAUACUCGAAGUCGUCCCCAAAUGCUGGAGAGGCUUACAUUGUAUAAGCAAUAGGGGUGGUAAAAUAUGAUCCAACCCGCCAUAAACAGAUUUGGGUUUGGCUUAAACAGGUUCGGGUCGUAAACAGGUUGAUCCGUUUAACCUGUUUAUUAAUUGGGUCGGAUACAGAUUUUAAAUUUCUGACCCGUUUAAUCUGUAUAACCUGUUUAAUUGUUGGGCUAAUAUAUAAGGGCCAGCCAUACUCCCUGCCUCGGCCCGCUUUCACCGCCUCGGCCCAACUCCCCGCUUCGGCCCGCUUUCACCGCGAGGUCCACCGUCCGGUUUCACAGUUUCACCGCGAGGUUGAUUGGACGUAAAAGGCGUCGCUUAGGGUUUGUGUCUUUGUGAGCGCCGCCCGAGCUCCAUUCCCUCAGUCCCUCUCCCCUCUCCUAGUCUUCCUCUCCUCCGGACCUCCGCCCUCUCCUCCCCCUUGCCGACUCCUUCCGCCUCCCCGUCGACGGCGACCGCAGCGGCUCGACGGGUUCCUAGGACGUUGCUUCCGCCUUCUUGGGGCUUUUCGUCGUCUCGCGACUUGCCGGCGGACGGUGACUGCUUUGUCUUCUCCACGGCGACGGCCUCCGUCUCCUGCCCUAUCCGUGCGUUCUCUCCCCUUCUCCGCUAGUAGUAUAGUCAUGCUAUCUCUGAUUUCCUUCCGCCAUCUCUUUCUGUCUCUGUUUCUUGAUCUUAGGGAUCUUGGAUCUCAAAGCGGCGGAGGACGUGAGGGCGCUCUUUCUCUUCUUCAAAGCGGCGACUACUGUGGAGUCCAGCAGCGCUGCAGCAGGUAUGCCGGUGGAGGGAAAUGGUUUGGUUUUUACUUUUUAUGGUUUGAUUCAUGGCGAAGGCUAGGGCUUCCAGAUUUUUUCCCCCACCCGAAUCGAAGCCGUCGAUGAUUUCCGGAGAGAAAAAAAUUUGGGGAUGGCGCCUAGAAUCCUAGAUCAGAGAUUUUGAGGGCUCCCGUUUCCAUUUUCUUUUAUUUUUUCCAAUAAAAAAAUUGUAAUCUGUUAAUUUCUCUCCN
This 8036-nucleotide long non-coding RNA is filed under the name Phoenix dactylifera (date palm). RNAcentral's name for it is "long non-coding RNA (PDAC_LNC001196)". Lineage: Eukaryota; Viridiplantae; Streptophyta; Magnoliopsida; Arecales; Arecaceae. The record is from RNAcentral.